Molecule: transfer RNA, 87 nt
Filed under: Escherichia coli
Lineage: Bacteria; Pseudomonadati; Pseudomonadota; Gammaproteobacteria; Enterobacterales; Enterobacteriaceae
Also listed under: 2 other names
Description: tRNA-Leu
Rfam family: tRNA
About the family: Transfer RNA (tRNA) molecules are approximately 80 nucleotides in length. Their secondary structure includes four short double-helical elements and three loops (D, anti-codon, and T loops). Further hydrogen bonds mediate the characteristic L-shaped molecular structure. tRNAs have two regions of fundamental functional importance: the anti-codon, which is responsible for specific mRNA codon recognition, and the 3' end, to which the tRNAs corresponding amino acid is attached (by aminoacyl-tRNA synthetases). tRNAs cope with the degeneracy of the genetic code in two manners: having more than one tRNA (with a specific anti-codon) for a particular amino acid; and 'wobble' base-pairing, i.e. permitting non-standard base-pairing at the 3rd anti-codon position.
Source: RNAcentral
GCCCGGAUGGUGGAAUCGGUAGACACAAGGGAUUUAAAAUCCCUCUGCGUUCGCGCUGUGCGGGUUCAAGUCCCGCUCCGGGUACCA